GGGGGAUCAUUACACAAUAUGAGGGCGGGCUGGAAUCUCUCGGGGUUACAGCCUUGCUGAAUUAUUCACCCUUGUCUUUUGCGUACUUCUUGUUUCCUUGGUGGGUUCGCCCACCACUAGGACAAACAUAAACCUUUUGUAAUUGCAAUCAGCGUCAGUAACAAAUUAAUAAUUACAACUUUCAACAACGGAUCUCUUGGUUCUGGCAUCGAUGAAGAACGCAGCGAAAUGCGAUAAGUAGUGUGAAUUGCAGAAUUCAGUGAAUCAUCGAAUCUUUGAACGCACAUUGCGCCCUUUGGUAUUCCAAAGGGCAUGCCUGUUCGAGCGUCAUUUGUACCCUCAAGCUUUGCUUGGUGUUGGGCGUCUUGUCUCUAGCUUUGCUGGAGACUCGCCUUAAAGUAAUUGGCAGCCGGCCUACUGGGUUCAGAACGCAACACAAAUCGGACUCUCUAUCAAAAAAAGGCUAACAACCCUUAAAAGCGUUUUUCCACCUUUAAACUCCGGACCGGGUAAGAUAUACGGUAAGAAUUCACCCAUAGAUUAACCCGAAGGAAA
This 555-nucleotide ribosomal RNA is filed under the name Alternaria sp. RL-15. Its description in RNAcentral is "eukaryotic LSU rRNA". The stretch from base 177 to 330 matches the Rfam family "5.8S ribosomal RNA". The record is from RNAcentral. Lineage: Eukaryota; Fungi; Ascomycota; Dothideomycetes; Pleosporales; Pleosporaceae.